AACCUUGUCAGGUUUACCCCAUUUAGAGUGGAGAGGGACUCCUGGUCAUUCUACCCGUAGUGUUAUCUCUUAUGUGAAGGCUCGGCGUAUGGUCGAGAAGGGGUGUUUGGCCUAUUUGGCUUUUUUUUAGUGAUUCUAGUGCGAGGGUUCCUUCUAUUGAUUAUGUGCCCGUUGUUCGUGAGUUUCCUGAGGUAUUCCCUUCAGACCUGCCGGGUAUGCCACCCAAUAGGGAUAUUGACUUUUGCAUUGAUUUGGCUCCUGGCACUCAGCCCAUCUCUAUCUCGUCAUAUCGCAUGGUCCCGCCUGAGUUGAAAGAGUUGAAGGAGCAGUUGCAAGACUUGCUUGAGAAGGGUUUCAUUAGACCUAGCGUGUCCCCUUAGGGUGCGCCGAUGUUGUUUGUUAAGAAUAAGGAUGGGUCGAUGAGAAUGUGUAUUGAUUACCGGUAGUUGAACAAGGUUACCAUCAAAAAUAAGUAUCCAUUGCCAAGGAUUGAUGAUUUAUUUGAUCAACUUUAGGGUGCCAAUGUAUUUUCGAAGAUUGACUUGAGAUCUGGCUACCAUUAGUUGAAGAUUAGGGCAUCCGAUGUCCCUAAGACAGCUUUCCGCACUCUGUACGGGCAUUAUGAGUUCUUGGUAAUGUCAUUCGGGUUGACAAAUACCCCAACAGCUUUUAUGGAUUUGAUGAACCGAGUGUUCAAGCCUUAUUUGGACUCGUUCGUGAUAGUCUUCAUUGACAAUAUUUUGAUUUAUUCCCGCAGCUGGGAGGAGCACAAGCAUCACCUCAGAGUGGUUCUUCAAACUCUGAGGGAUAGUCAAUUAUAUGCUAAAUUCUCGAAGUGUGAGUUCUGGUUGAGUUCAGUUGCAUUUCUGGGUCAUGUUUUAUCAACAGAGGUUGUUCAUGUUGAUCCGAAAAAGAUUGAGGCAGUCAAGAACCGGCCUACACCAGCAUUAGCUAUAGAGAUUCAGAGUUUCUUGGGAUUGGCAGGCUACUAUCGUCGGUUCGUGGAGGGGUUUUCAUCUAUCGCAGCCCCGAUGACCAGGUUGACCCAGAAGGGUGCCCAGUUCUAAUGGUCGGACGAGUGUAAGGCGAGAUUUCAGAAGCUUAAGACAGCUCUGACUACGACACAGGUGUGGUUUUGCCCACAGGUUCAGGGCCUUAUACAGUUUAUUGUGAUGCGUCUCAUAUUGGGCUCGGUGCAGUAUUGAUGCAGGAUGGCAAUGUCAUUGCCUAUGCUUCGCGGCAGUUGAAGAUUCAUGAGAAGAACUAUCCGGUUUAUGAUUUAGAGUUGGCAGCCAUUAUUCAUGCGUUGAAAAUUUGGAGGCAUUAUCUGUAUGGCGUGGCAUGUGGGGUGUUCACAGAUCACAAGAGUCUUCAGUAUCUAUUCAAGCAAAAGGAGUUGAAUUUGAGGCAGAGAAGGUGGUUAGAGUUGUUGAAAGAUUAUGAUAUCACUAUCUUAUAUCAUCCGGGAAAGGCCAAUGUGGUGGCCGAUGCUUUGAGUAGGAAGUCAGCCAGUAUGGGCAGUCUUGCUUAUAUUUCGGUCGGUGAGAGACCGCUUGCUCUGGACGUUCAGGCCUUGGCCAAUCAGUUCGUGAGGUUGGAUGUUUCUGAGCCCAGUCAUGUGUUAGCUUGCAUAGUCGCUCGCUCUUCAUUAUUAGAGCAUAUCCGAGAUCGGCAGUAUGAUGAUCCCCAUUUGUGUGUCCUUAGAUACAUGGUGUAGCACGGAGGUGCCAAGCAAGUUACCUUAGGUGAUGAUGGAGUUUUGAGAUUGCAUGGUCGAGUUUAGAUGCCUAAUGUGGAUGGGAUUUGAGAGUUGAUUUUAGAGGAGGCCCAUAGCUCCUAGUACUCUAUUCAUCCGGGCGUCGCGAAGAUAUAUCAGGAUUUGCAGCAGCAUUAUUGGUGGCAGAGAAUGAAGAAGGAUAUCGUUGCAUAUGUGGCUCGUUGUUUGAAUUGUCAGCAGGUUAAGUAUGAGCAUUAGAGGCCUGGUGACUUGUUCCAGAAGAUUGAGAUUCCUGAGUGGAAGUGGGAGCGGAUCACUAUAGACUUCGUUGUUGGACUCCCACGAACUCAGAGGAAGUUCGAUGCAGUGUGGGUUAUUGUUGAUAAGCUGACCAAGUCAGCGCAUUUCAUUCCUGUGGCGGUCUCCUAUUCUUCUGAGAGGUUAGCUGAGAUCUAUAUCCGAGAGAUUGUUCAUCUUCAUGGUGUGCCCGAGUCUAUCAUUUCGGACCGAGGUACGCAGUUUACCUCGCAUUUCUAGAGAGCAGCUCAGCGAGAGUUGGGCAUACGAGUUGAGUUGAGCACAACAUUUCAUCCUCAGACGGACGGGCAGUCCGAGUGGACUAUCCAAAUUUUGGAGGAUAUGCUCCGAGAUUGUGUCAUUGACUUUGGAGGCUCGUGGGAUCAGUUUUUGCCCUUAGAAAAGUUUGCCUAUAACAACAGCUACCAGUCGAGUAUUCAGAUACUUCCGUAUGAGGCUUUAUAUGGUAGACGGUGUCGGUCUCCAGUUGGAUGGUUUGAGCGGGGGUAGGCUCGGUUAUUAGGUACGGAUCUGGUUAAGGAUGCCUUGGACAAGGUCAAGAUCAUUCAGGAUAGGCUUCGUACAGCUCAGUCCAGGCAAGGGAGUUAUGCCGACCGCAAGGUUCGUGAUUUGGCAUCCAUGGUUGGUGAGUGAGUAUUGCUUCGAGUGUCGCCUAUGGAGGGCGUGAUGAGAUUUGGGAAGAAGGGCAAGCUUAGCCCUAGGUUCAUUGGCCCGUUUGAGAUUCUUGAUCGAGUGGGAGAGGUGGCUUAUAGACUUGCGUUGCCGCCGAGCUUAUCAGCCGUGCAUCCAGUGUUUCGUGUGUCCAUGCUCCGAAAGUAUCACGGCGAUCCAUCCCACGUGUUAGAUUUCAGCACUGUCCAGUUGGACAAGGACUUGUCUUAUGAGGAGGAGCCAGUAGAUAUUCUAGACCGACAGGUUCGUCAAAUGAGAUCGAAAAGUUUUCCUUCUGUUUGUGUUCAGUGGAGAGGUCAGCCCGUUGAGGCAUCGACCUGGGAGUCCGAGUCCAAUAUGCAGAGCCGUUAUACCCAUCUUUUUCCUGACUCAGAUACUUCCUUCUUGUGUUCGUUCGAGGAUGAAUGGUUGUUUUAGAGGUGGAGAAUGUGAUGACCUUUUGGGUCAUCACUUGUGUUGCAAGUGAAUUUAGUGUUCCAAGGCCUAAAAACCUCCUCUUUACUCACUUUGUUUUACGUGCAUGGUCCGUAUCUAUAUCCGGAAAGCCUUCUAUGUGAGAAUAUGAGAAAUAGAAAUUUCUAGAGUUAAAAAUUUGAUUAUGGUUGACUUUGGUCAACAUUUUAAGCAAACGGACCUGGAUCCGUGUUCCAAUGAUCCCGGGAGGUCCGUAGUAAAAUAUGGGACUUGGGCGUGUUCCCGGAAUUGAAUUCCGAGGUUCCAAGCUUUAAAAAUCAAUUUUGAAAAAAAAAUUGUUUUACUGAAUUAUCUAAGAAAUGAAGAAAAGAAUUAAUGUGUGAAACCAUUGCUAUCGGGCCCAUAUUUUUGGUUCCGGAGCCCGGUACAAACUUGUUAUAGUAUUUGAAAGAUAACUGUGAGAUUUGGUGAAAACGGAGUUUAUUUAACGUGAGUUGAACUUCCGGUUGAAAAGUUAUGAACCUUGAGAGUUCUUGAUGAAAAUGUUGAGUUUUGAGGUUUAAUUCAUGAUUUUACAUGUUACUUUGAUGAUGUGAUCGCACGAGUAGGUCCAUAUGAUGACUUUGAGUUAGUAUGCACACAUAGUUAGAAGUUCUGAGGGCUCGGGUGAGUUUCAGGUAGGUUUCGGAUGUCUUAGGCUUAAAAACAUAGUUGUUGCAGGUUCAGAGAAGUGGAAGGCCUCUGAACCAACCAGUGCGGUACGCAAAAAGUAGAAUUCUUCCGCGGAGGGGCCUGUACGGCCGCACUGGAUUUCGUGCGGAUCGCGGUGGCAGCCGUGCGGCCGCAGUUGAUUUCGUGAGGUUCGCGGAGAAGAAAAUUUCACUGGUCCGAUUUCGGAAGCCUAUAUCUUUUGAUCUACAAGGAAUUUUGAGAUGAUUUAAAAACUAAAGUUGUAGCCCUUCGUGUCUAGUGUACAGAAAGGUAAAGAUAUUGCAAUUUGGACAUCUGUGGAAAAAGUUAUGGCCAAAAUACUAAAACAUGUCACUGUAGUAAACCUGGUGAGCUGUGUGGCCGUACUCCAUUUUAUGCGGUCCGCACUGGGGGUUUGAGAGGGGUAUAUUAAAACGGGAUUUUCAGUUAUUUCUCAUUUUUCAAAACCCCAAAAAUAUAAGAGGCGAUUUUUCAAACAACUUUUCUUCUCCAAAACAUUGGUAAGUGAUUUCUAACUCAUUUUCCUUACUCCUUAACUUCUUUUUACAAGAUUUCAUCCUAGAAUCAAUGAUUUUCAUGGGGAAAUUGGGUGUUUUUGGUAGAACCUAGGUUUUUUAAAAAUUGGGAAUUUGGUAAAAACAAAUUAUAUAUUUAGAUUCGUGGGGAAAUGGGUAAUCGGGUUUGGUUCGAACUUCGGGUUUUGACCAUGUGGGCCUGGGGCGAUUUUUGACUUUUUGGGUAAAACUUUAGAAAACUCAUUUUCAUACAUUGGGGUUGAUUCAUUUAGCAUUUAUUGAUGUAAUUAAGUAACUUGUGACUAGAUACGAGCGAAUUAGUGGUGGAAUCAAGGGGUAAAUCUAUAGUUGAAUCGUGAAUCGUGUUCGUGGCAUCGAGGUAAGUGUUCGGUCUAAACUUAGCUUGAGGGAUUAGGAGUAAUGUCUUAUUUGCUACAUGUUAAUUGUGGAGUAUGACGUAUAGGCAUGGUGAUGAGUAUUUAUACGUUGGUGUCAAGCAUGCCCGUGAGUUUUGUAUUAUAAUUGUUAUGACUCCGUUAUGGUUUAUUGCGCUUCAUAUGUUAUUAUUAUCAUUGUUCCCUUGCCAGGACAUUGUUGAGAUACCAUUGUUCCCUUUCCGGGAUAUUGUGGAGAUACCAUUGUUCCUUUGCCAGGAUAUUGUUGAGAUAUCAUUAUUCCCUUGCCGGGAUAUUAUUGAGAUAUCAUUGUUCCCUUGUCGGAAUAUUAUUGAGAUAUCAUUGUUCCCUUGUCGGGAUGUUAGUUUGAUAUUAUUGUCCCCUUGUCGGGAUUCCUUGUGAUUAUUGUUGGCCUGUAACUGGGAGCAGGUGGUACGCCUACCACAAGAUAAAUAAAAUGGGUGCGGGUGGUAUGCCUACCACAAGAUAAAUGAAAUGGGAGGGGGUGGUAUGCCUACCGCAAGAUAAUGAAAUGGGAGCGGGUGGUACGCCUACCACAAGAUAAAUAAAUGGGAGCGGGUGGCACGCCUGCCACGAGAUACAUGAAAUGGGAGCGGGUGGCACGCCUUCCACGUGAUACAGGAAAUGGGAUCGGGUUGCACGCCUGCAACAAGAUGUGAAAAGAAAGUGAAAUCUGCCUCUGUUUUCCUUAUUCCUGUUAGCGAUUGAUUUUGAUCACUUUAUAAUUCUCUUGAUAUUCUGUUUUACCUGCUAUUCCCCAAAACAUGUUUUCCCCUCCCAUCUUUACUUGUCUAUUUCUAUAUUACUUUCCCGCUGUAUAUAUUUGAACUGCACAUGUUUAUCUGGAGUUUGGUCCUAGCCUCGUCACUACCUCACCGGGGUUAGGCCAGACACUUACCAGCACAUGGGGUUGGUUGUGCUGAUACUACACUCUGCACUAUGUGCAAAUACCGGAGCAACAUUUGGACAGUAGCACUUGGAGAGCCAGCUUUCAGUCCACAGAGAUCACGAGGUAGUCCUGCAGGCGUCCGCAGGCCCGACGUUCUCUUCUAUCUAUUAUUAUGUUCUGUUAUCACUUGUAUCCGAGACAGGCUGUAUUCCUUUUUCAGACCUUUGUAUGUAGUAUUCAUAGAUAGUCUGUGAAUAUGGUGACACCGGUUCCUGGGUAGAGACGCAUGCUGGCAUUUUCGUAUUUAUUUUGGUAUUACAUUAGUCUAAGUCUUCCGCUUAAUUUCAUCUUCCGCUAUCAUUUAAAUGUUGAUCACCUGUUAAGAUAAGUUGUUAAAAGAAUUAAAAUGAAAGAGUUAAAGAUUUCUAAAUUUCGUGGCUUGCCUAGCUUCUACGAGUAGGCGCCAUCACGACUCCCGAGGGUGAGAAAUUCGAUUCGUGACAUCAAACUCUCUACAAUAUUUAUGCCUCAAACCAAACCAAAUGGAAAUCUAUACGAUUAUGAAACCUCAUCAAUUAUUACUACACAGCGACACCGACCAAAAUGUACCAUGAAACGCCGAUAAACCAACUUAAACCAAUAAUGUAAUACAAUGAACUACAGAACAAUUAAUACUUUCAAUAAAGAAAACAACAUCUAACAAGAGCAAUUAAACAUGGAAGCACCAAUAAGCAUGUAACAGUUAAGACAAGAAAAUAAUAUAUUGGGGACGGGGGGAAAGGAUCAGGCUAAACAGAUAAUUUGGCGGCACAUAGGUACUCGUCACCUCACCUAUACCCCACACAUGUGGGUUUUCACAUAGAAAAUAAGUCGGGGAUCCCUAAUCCCUCAAAUCAAAGUUAGACCAAACAUUUACCUCAAGCUAACGGCCAACUCAAAGCUCAAUUACCGCUUUUCCUCUAGUUUCCACCUCCAAUCGACUCGUAUCUAGUCAUAAUUAACUUAAUAACAUCAAUUAUCUCUAAAGAAAUCAAUUCCAAUGCAUAAUUAUAGAUUUCCCAAUAUUUUCCCAAAAAGUCAAAAAUCGACCCCGGGUCCGCUCGGUUAAAACCCGAAAUUCGGACCAAAACCCGAUUACCCAUUCACCCCGAGCCUAGAUAUACAAUUGGUUUUGGAAUCCGACAUCAAUUUGCGGUCUAAAUCCCCAAAUUUCAAAAUUCCUAAGUUCUACCCAAAAAUCGCUCAAUUCCACCAUGAAAAACCCUAGUAACUAGGAUGAAAUCUUGUAAAAAGAAGUAAAAGAUUGAAAAAAUGAGUUAAGAUUCAUUUACCUGUGAUUUGGGAAAGAAAUGGUCGUUGGAAAAUCGCCUCUUGAGGUUUAGGUUUUGAAAAUGGGAGAAUGAAUGAAAAAUCACGUCCAAAAUCGUUUUUGAAUAGUUGCAUGUAUCGCAUUUACGAUCAGGGAUUCGCAAAUGUGAACUCGCAAAUGCGGACAUUACUUCGCAAAAACGAAGAAUGGCCUGGCCUGCUAGUAUCGCAAAUGCAAACAAAUGUUCGCAAAUGCGGUCUGUUCUUAUCGCAAUUGCGAUCCUGAGCUUCACAAUUGCGAAGGUCCCAUCCCAGCCCUUCUGAUCGCAAAUGCGAACAUCUUUGCAAAUGCGAUGCUUGCAUUUGCGAGCCAUGCGAAGUCUGCAGACCUAAAGCAUACCAACAAAAUUCCUUAAGUCUAAAUCACUCCGUAGCCAAACCAAACAUGCACGCAAGUCUUAAAACAUCAUAUGAACUUGCUUGUGCGAUCAAAUCGAUAAAAUAACAUCCAAAACUAUAGAUUUAACACCAAAACACAUGAAAUUCUUAAGAACCCUUGAAAUUUCUCUUUUCUCAACCGAAUGCCCGAAUCACGUCAAAUAAACUCCGUUUUCACCAAAUUUCACAGACAUGACUUAAAUAUUAUAUUAAACCUGUAUUGGGCUCCGGAACUAAAAUAUGGGCCCGAUACCAACGAGAUCAAAUAUUAAUCAAUUUCUUUAGUUCCAUAUAUUUUCAGUCUUACAAUUUUCAUCAAAAAUUUAUUUCUUGGGCUUGGGACUUCGGAAUUCGAUUUCGGGCAUACGCCCAGGUCCAAUAUUUUACUACGGUCCUACCGGGACCGUCAAAACACUGGUCUGGAUCCGUUUACCCAAAACGUUGACCGAAGUCAACAAAAAUUAACUUUUUAGGCCAAAAAUCAUUUUUUCAUCAAUUUUCAUAUAAAUGCUUUCCGGAAAUACGCCCGGAUUGCACACGCAAAUCGAGAAAAGAUAAAAAUGAGAUUUUUAAGCCUCGAAAUACAGAAUCAGAUUCUAAAAUAGAAGAUGACCUUUUUGGUCAUCAUAUUAUAGAUCGUUUUAUUCCAACACCAAUAACCUUGAAAAUGGAUAAUCUUGAUCUUUAGACCCUCAUUCAACCCACGAACAAACUUUUAAUGUCAAAAGCUAAAGUGUUGUCCAUAGAUCAAGCGGGGCAAACACUUAUCAAACUUAAAUUUCUGCCCAUACAACUAGCGAGACCAAAAAAUAAAGAGUGGUGCCAAAUAUCUUCUUUGUGCAAAUCACCCAACGGCAGGACCCUCAAGGAUCAAGAUUGGGUCCAAGGUGAUGAAAGUGUAAAAUCCUCUGGACUGUGUCAAGAAGUGAGUGUCGGUGCAAAUUAGUAAUCAAUGCCAAAUGUCUAAUGGAUCGAAUUUUAACAUUUUUUAUUGAAUUUUUUUAAAUAUAUUUUUUGUAUAAAUAUACAUUCUAUAUAUUACAUACAAAAAUUAUUUAAAUUUUAUAUUUUUUCAGCUACCGAAUAUAAAUAAUUUAUGGGUGAAAACCCCCCUUUUUUAUUCCUUGCUCCUUCUACUUCUUUUCUUUCCUUAUCUUUUGCUGACUUGCUGUUAAUUUCAAAAAUCAAAUGGUAAAAAUUUGACUUAAAAAGUAUGAUAAGAUGGAGAAUUCAGACCCACAAACAAUUUGAAAGUCAGUUGUUUCGAGGUUAAUUCCCACAAAAAACUCAAUAAUUUAAACUCAAACAAUUCAUUAAAUAAGUACAGAUGAUUAAUUUCCAUCUCAAAAACUUGAAUAAAUUAUCCUAAAAUCUUGAACUUUAAAUCCAUGUCUAAUUAUCGCCCAGAUAACCCCUCGUGCGUUUGCCUUUCUGUCGCUUUGUUUCUCUCUCAUAAUAAUUCAAACUGAAAGCAAGUUCUGGAAGUGUCAGUUACUCGGAAAAAAAAAAUCAAGAAGAUCCAAAUUUAUAAUUGAUAAUUAAAAAAUAGUCACAAUUUUAAAAAUAAUCGAAAUUUAUCCAUUUUAAUAUAAAAAUAUAAUUGGAACAAAAACACACAUAAAAAUCCGGAAAUAUUCCAUCAUAAUAUGUUGGAGUUCGAGUUUUUUACAUAUGAAAUUCCGGUAUAAUAUACUAUAAUUUCAUAAUGUACUGGAGUUCCAACAUAAUAUGUUGGAAGUUUAUAUGCAGGAACUCCAUAAUCUAGCAUAUUAUGCUGGAACUUUCCGUAUUUCAGCAAAAUAAUGGCUAUUUUUCAAUGACUUUGCAGAUACUGGCUAUUUUUCGGUUACAAUCCGAAAACUGGUUAGGCCGUGCUAUUUUCACCAGUUACUCUAUCCGGUCCACUUUAAUUAAUAUUUUUGGCUAUUUUUGCAUAUAUUAAAAAAAUUAUUUUUUGCAUUACUUAGCAGUAAAAAUGACCACAUUAACAUUAAUUUAUUCAUUAGAAAUAUAACAAAUAUUUUUAGGCUCUUUAUUCCAAAAACAACUUGGGAGAAAAAAAUUAAUUCAUUCUUGAUAUUUGAAAACAUAAAAUAUUGUAUAAGAAAAAUGUCAAAAAAAAAACAAUUAAAGUGAACCGUAGGGAGUAUCACUUACUCUCUUCGGUCCACUUUAAUUGAUUUAUUGGUUGUUUUCACCCAUAUUAAGGAAUUCACCUUUUAGCAUUAAUUAACAAUAAAAAUGAUCAUAUCAACCUUAUUUUGUUCAUUAGAAAUAUAACAAAUACUCCUAGGCUCUUUACUCCAAGAGCAACUUUGAAAAUUAUUUUAUCAAUAAAAUUAUAUAUGUUUCUUCAUAUUUAUAUUGUGGUUACAAUUUAUUCUUGUAUCUCGAAUAAUUUGUUGUAAACAAAUUGGCACGCCCAGUGGGACCAAAUCUAUCAUUCAUUCUCUAAUAAUGAAAAGAAUGUGGUGUCUUCUUUGCUGGUACUUCAAGCCUCGUUUACGCGAUCUUGUAAAUCUAUGCCUCGACAAGCCUUGAAAUAGGGGACAUUUGUAGACAUCAAAAUUUUAUCAGAUCAAAUCCAUAUGAAAUUUGGACAAAAUCCUAAAUUUAAGAUUCUACAAGUAGAGUCCAUCGAGGUUUCUUGGAUGCUACUCUAUCUGAAACCGUAACUUGGAGGUCACUCUACCUGAAGCCCUAAUUUGAAGCGUACUAUACCCAAAACCCUAGAUACAUUAAUAAAAGGGGGCCAUAUAUUCUCUUAAAAAGCAUCUCAAAAAUGGAAAUGAUCUCAGUAAUUUCAUAAAUUCUCAGAAUAUGCACAAAGAGAUCAAAUAUAUGAUCUUAAAAUUACAUAAAAAUUCAUGGAAUAUUCACAAAGAGAUCAAAGACAUCAAAUAUUGUCUUUCUCAAAGCCACCGAAGUAAUCAAUGGAUGUUCUUCCUUUUUCUGAAGAUCAAAUACAUCCUAAGGAAGUUCGCAUCAUCCUACGUUCGAGAAUAUACUGGUUAAGCCCUCGAAUCACGAAGAACGAUCUAGAGAGAAGAAUCAAGGGAACAAAUAAAAAUGUACCCGCAUUAUUUUAUCGAUAAAAUUAUAUAUGUUUCUUUAUAUUUAUAUUAUGGUUACAAUUUAUUUUUGUAUCACAAAUAAUUUAUUGUAAACAGUCCGGUAUCCGCAUUGGGAGCCGACUAAAUUUAUAUUUUUCCAUCCGGUGUUUGGUAUCCGUAUUGGGGCCCAACUAAAUCCAGAUUGACGGAAAGGUAUACAUUAGGAAUAAAGUAUUUUCUAACAAAGACAAUUCUGUACCGGGUGAAAUUUAAAAAUAGUCAGAUUUACAACUGGUCGUUCAAAAAUAGCCCAGUUUCAAAAGUAAUCGAAAUUUACCCACUUUUCAUGUAAAGAUAAAUGUGAAUGAAAACACUAUUCAAAACCUGAAAAAUGCGCCAGUAUAUUAUGCUGGAGUUCCAGGAUAUUAUACUGGAGUUCCAAGAUAAGUAUGCUGGAACUCCAGCAUAAUAUGAUGGAGUUCCAUCAUAAGUACACUAGAACUCCAUCAUAAUAUACUGGAGUUCCAGCAAGUAUACUGGUCCAGCAUAAUAUACUGAAGUUUGGAGUACUGGUGCUCCAGUCUCCAGUAUAUUAUACUGGAGCCAGCAAAGUAUACCGGUCCAGCAUAAUAUGCUGGAGUUCAUACACAGGUGCACCGAACUCCAGUAUAUUUUGCCGGACCGGUCUCUGCUGCAGCAAAAUAAUAGCUAUUUUUCAUUGACUUGAUAAACGCUAGCUAUUUUUAAAUAACCAAUCCGAAAACUGGUUAUACCGUGCUAUUUUUACUCCCAUACCAGGGUUCCAACCUGAAACCUCUCGUUACAACCUUGUUUGGUGGAGUAUCACUUAUCAUUCAUUAAAAUAGACGCACUCACUUUAAUGAACUUUCUGCUACAGUACUAUUUCAGAUCUCAAAUAUUUUUUAGUACUCAACACAGGCUCCUCUACUAUUAAAUUUCAUACAUUACCCUUCACUUUCUUCUAUCUAAGCUAAAUCUCUGUUUCUCACUCUCUCUACAAGUCAAGGUACUCUCUUUUUUCACAUUUUUAUGUCUUUAUUGAUACAUGAUUUGUUUAGAUUUAGCUACUUUAAUUGGUUUUAUUGAGAUUGUAGAAUUCUAAAAUUUAAGUCUUUACCUUUUUCUUUGCAAUUCAGUAGUUGUUUACCUACUGUAGUGAAUCCAUGAGUAUUAUGAGUUGUUAAUUUUGCUGAAUUUUGAAGUGCUGGUACCUAGCGCUGAGUAGAUUGUACUGAGAUACAAUAAUAGUGUUGAAUUGAUGGUUACUUCCCUCAAUUCAGCAAUAUUAGGUCACUGGAAAUUGUUAACAACAACAACAAAUAAUAAGGGGUGGAUUUAGCGGAUUUAGCAUGCAGGCUACGGGUUCAUCUGAACCCAGUAACUUUUGCUAUAUAUGUUGAAAAUUCCUCUAAAUAAGUGCAAAUAAUAGAUUUCAAACUCAGUAAAAUCAAAUAGAAUGCGGUAGAAUUUCAAACGCGAACAUAAAUUUCAGAUCUUGGACCCACCUCUGCUAUUAAUUGCCUAUUGAUCCUUUUUUUAGGAAUUUAAAAGUGUUUGAUAAGCUUUUGUUUUUCAGAGUUUGCUUCAGAUGAUAAUUUGAAGAAGAUAGCCAAAUGUGCUUGCUGCAUUUCUACAAUUGAUGAGUAUAAGUUAACGAGACUGAGAUUUGUUGAGUGAGGUUUUGAUGGAUCAUAUUUCAUCUACAGAGAGGGAUUUUGUGGUUGAUCUCGAGAGUUGUAGAAGUACAAGUGAAGAAGCAAGAAGUACUAAUUCUCCAUUAAAUGCCAAAGCAGGGGAUAUAUUAUUCACUAGUGUCUGUAAUGAUGAUGGUGAAGAACUUUCUAGAGCUGAAAAUGGGUUGAAUAUGAACAGCAAUAUAAAAGACGGCGCAGAGCUAUCUCCGGCAAAUAUUAGAGUGUUUAUAGACAAGACAAAUUUAGUAGAGAAGAAACCGGUGAAAGAAAAACGUAAAUCAAUGAGUGCUAAAAAACCUCCUAAGCCUCCUAGACCUCCCAGAGGAUUUUCAUUGGAUGCUGCUGACCAGAAGCUGAUAAAAGAGAUAGCGGAACUCGCAAUGAUCAAACGUGCACGGAUUGAGAGAAUGAAGGCAUUGAAGAAAAUGAAAGCAGCCAAGGCAUCGUCAACAUCAUCAGUAUUGAAUGGCAGUUUCCUUGCCUUGCUCUUUACUGUCUUCUUCUUUUUUCUGCUAUUGUUUCAAGGUAAAUAUCUGGAUUUUUCAGUUUGGAUUUCCUAUGUCCUAUUUUAGAGUGUAAUUAUAUUAAGAAUGAAGUUUUUAUGAAAUUUUGCUCCAAAAGAAUGCUCCUUGUUAAGAUAAAUUUGACUUUCCUCAUUCUUCAGCAUGUCAAGUCAUGUUAAUUGCAUUUCAUACCUGUAGUCAGUUUCUUCUUUUGUGUUUCAUGCUUUUAAGUGACUAUAUAUUGGUGUUGCUCGUGUAGACAAUGCUAACAAUUGGUUUGUACCUGCCACCAAUAAGCAAAAUCGUAAUGGAGCUAUUGGGUUAUCUUCUUAAUUCUCUAUAUAUGUCAAGAUCAUUCUUGUUUUGGAAGCCGAGCUUGUUAGCGCAAGCUUGUGACCCAAGUGGGGGCAUUAAGUUGUUGGGACACCAUAUAAGUAAAGCCCUUGACAGGAGUGGUUUGGUUGGGCCAGCAAUGACACUAGGUGUUUUGCAUGCUUCCCUAAGCCGAGGAUCUAUUGGAAACAACCUUUCUACCUCCACAAGGUAGGGUUAAGGAUGCGUACACGCUACCCUCCUCAGACCACACUACUUGGGAUUAUACUGGGUUUGUUGUUGUUGUUGUUGCAUUCUUGUUUUGGAACUUCUAUUUUUUUCUCUCUUGAUACUGAUACCAGAUCCGGUUAUGUGAGCAUCUUUAUGGCAGUAGGAGGAUGCAAAAAUAUGGCUUGACACGAUAUAUAUGUGUGCUGAUUCUUUGCAUUUUUGGUCAGCAAUGAUGGCGCUGAAAAACCACAUUUUUUUGCAGUUGACAUACCCUUGUGUUUUCUUUCUUCUCCUUUUAGUUCCUCUCCCUCCCCCCCCCCCCCCCCACCAUUUUAUUCAUACUGUUGAACCAAGAACUUUUUUUCCAUUAUGCAAAAUUUCUGAUGAUUUGGUGUUUACAAUAUUGUAUGCAGGGAUGUCUUAUAGAAGUUCAGCUAUGAGCUUUCACAACUCUGUUCAAUCCGGCAGCGUGAAGAAUAGAUUCAUUAUUGUACAGGACCACUCAAAUUUAUCCACUAGUAAUGCCAUCUUCGCGGACUCUGGAUCUUCGGAGUAUGUACUACCCUAUAUAUCUCUGAUACAUCUGAAAAUGGUACUUCACAUUCUGUAGUUAUAGAUGAUUCUAGUUGGCUAAGUUUUUCCAUUUGCUUCUUAUCUUGUAGUCCUGUGGAGCACGCUUCUGGUUUAACUCAUGGGAAUAGUCCGAAAAGUGUCACAAGCUGAAAUUUAGUGUCAUUACUCGAACUAUUCAAAUAUGAAUUCAGAUUGCCACUACGUUUCUGGCAUGCGCCAGUUUGAAGGAGUUCUACGUAAGUGACUCGGUAUAAGACUUACCUAAUUUGUAUAACCUGUACAGUGAUUGAUACUGGUUGAUUGAGAUAAAUAACCACUGCCAUAGCACACUAAGAAUGCCUCAGAAUUGCCAGUUCAGUAGCUAGCCUCAAAUUGACAAAGAGGUUUCUGGGGAGAAGCAUGGAUUGAAACAAAAUACAGAUUGGUCCUUUAAUAUGUAGCAGUUGGAUUAUAUGGUUUAUAAAAGAUAUAGAAAGAAAUGGUGAUGUCAAGUGGCAAAAACUGGUGAUAUAUGAGUUUCUUUUUCUUGUCAGUUGGAAGACCUAACUCCUUUGUGAUAUAUCUUUGAUGUUUAUUUGUGCCACAAUGGUUGAACUGAAUCCCUAAUUAUGAUAUUUGGACUAGUUAAAUAGUGCAUAAUACUCUGAGAACAAGAAUUUCAGGGCCUUGUAAUUGCUGAUCAAUCUUGUUUGACUUGCUUUACUUAUGUAUUGAUCGCCUGAACCACACUGGCGAUGCGCGUUAGAUCAGACUUAUUUGCAUUUUAAUAUAUGGAAUAGAAUAUGCUUUCUUUCAGAUUAUUGUUUUCUGACUUGAGGGUCUAUCGGAAACAACCUCUCUGCCCUAUCGGGGUAGGGGUAAGGUCUGCCUACACAUUACCCUCUCCAGAUCCCACUUAAUGAGAUUUUACUGGGUAGUAGUUGUUGUUGACUUGAAGUCAUACUAUCCUGGGUGCACAUCUGUAUGCUUCAAAGUCUGUUAAUAGUUAAUAACCUUUAAUAUCAUUGGGAUUCAUGACUUAUCUUCUCUAAGUCCAAAAGUAAUACUUAAUUAUAACUGGAGAAUUUGAAAUAUAAGUAACUCUUCUCUGAAGAAAGGUUCCUGCCCUCACUUUAAAUAGAAGCAAGGCAAGUUGGGAGUAUCAUGUUUGCCACGUUCGACGGAUUUGCCCUUUCUAAUUUUCUAUAAUAAUAAUAAUAAUUUUCUUAUAAGAGAACUACUAAAAAGACAGAAAGAAAAGACAACUUACCAUAAGAGAAAAUCAUCUAAACUGCAUCAUUAACAACAAAGGAAGUGAAAGGAAAAAAACAAAAAAGGAGAGUAUCUGUAUUUGUAAAAGGGAGUGCAUGCGGCUGCUUCAACGGCUCGAACCCGUAACCUAUAUUACAGGGGUACAUCAUAAUAAAUUUCUAAUAAUUGCUCUACCAACAACAGAAAGCUCAAGCACUGCAGUGUUCAAACCAGUAAGAGGAGAAAAACUACUCUUGAAAUUCUCCUCACAAUCCUGAGAAUCACCAAAACAUACAACCAUACCAUCUUCAGCAAAUUUUGGGUUCCCUUUAGUCAAAGCUUCAACAGCUUCAGGUAAACUUACUGUUAAAAUUACCUUAUAUGAAAAAGCACACUUCUUUAAUGGAACUCUCCAAGCUGUUGGAGGAUUGGAUUGACGUAGCUUUGAGAUAAAUUCCGCCGCCUGAUUCGCCUUCACUUUGAUGGCGUCCACGACGAUCAGCGCCAGCGUCGUGAUGUCGCCGCCGGCGCUGCGUUUGUCGGAGAGUAGAGUUUUUAGGCAGAGGUUGUAGUUUGGUGUGUUCUUGCAUGUGGUUUCUACUAGGUUAUUUCUGCUGCUGCUUGUUUCCAGUGUUAAGGUUAAUAGCAAUAUGACUAGAUAUAUUAGAGUCUUCAUUUUGGAAAAGAAGAAAAAAAGACCUAAGUUAUUGUUUUAAGUGGAGAAACUCAGGGCAGCUAGUUUGCUGUUGUGAACUCUGAAGAGAUUGGGAACUACAUAUAUUGGAUGGAGGUGUUUGCUCUUUUAAAAAAAAUUAAAAAUCAUUCAUCCGUUCUACUUCCUCUGUUUCAAAAAGAUCCGUACUAUUUUCUUAUUAGUCUGUUUCGAAAAAAUUGAUCGUUUACGUACCAUAUUUCCUUAGUGAUAUAAAAAUGAAAUUGAGGAGGGAGUAAAAGAUUAAAUUACGUACAACUAUGGGCGGGUAGGCGUUAUUUUUCUGUUUUCGGCAAAACUUGGACACAUUCAGUGGUGUCGCUGGUGUGGAAAUGCAGAGGAGAUAAGACUUAAUUUUAAGUCGGUUACUUAUAACCAUCUCUUUAUGGGUUCCUUUAUUUAUCUCUUUCCCAAACGGGGUUCUGUUGGUGAUGGGAGAUAUUAGGUACUUAUAUUAUGAUAUUAAUAUUUGUGUGCGUGUAAGCUGGUACGGACUCUAUGGAGAAAAGAAAAUUAAUAAUGCUUGCAGUGCUUUGUAUUGCGAAUCAUCCCUACAUUAUUAAUGUAAUUUAUGCAUCACUAGUUUCUACAUUGCUAAUUAUUUACCUGUAAAAUUGAAUUAUAAUUAAAUUUGUACGUAGUUUUAAGGAUACAUAAUAUAACUUGAUACAAAUUAAGAAGAUAAAUUAAUAUUGAAAUUAACGAUAAUAAAAUAAAUGCAAAUCACAAAAUUGAACAACCUUAGCCUCUGAGUUUGAUCAACCUCGAACCAAGUAAUAUCUCAACUAGUGUUAUAACUGAACAACAAGAUGAUAAGAACUAGAAAUGAUUAGUAUAUUGCUCUCUUUUUGCAUGUUACAAUGUUCCUUACAAAUGAUCAGAACCCACUGUAUGUAGUGGGGGUGUUCUACUUUUGGUAUAAUUCUAUACAAGGUAAAAAAUCUCAUGAUUUGCUAGUUAAUCGGCCUCUUCUGCCGAGAUUUCCGCCGUGAUCCUCGACCGAUUGCGGAUAUUUUGGCUUUCCGUUAUUUGGCUAGGUAAGUUCUCCUCGAUCUUGCACGGUCUCUGGGUCACGAGCUCGACGAUCUAAUUUUGCGCCUUGGUUCGAUAUAAUCCGAGUUCGAGUUUUGACCUGCCACGUUUAAGCCUCUGUUGGUCAAACAAUUGACGAACCCAGUUUCGACCGUAUACACUAAUCUUAACAUUAUCAGUACAUAUUGUAACCGAUAUGUUAUUAAAUCUUGUAUAACUUGUCUUUGAACCAAGCAACCCGCAAGAGUUAGUCAUAUUUGCUGAUGUUUUCCUGUUAUAGUCCAGGGGGAUAUAGCCUUUAGAUUAUGAGUUCAACUGAAUCCAUAACUUUUGAUAUGGAGUAUAAAUAUAUAUAUAUAUAUCAUUAAAUUUCAACAAAUAUUAGAUUUGAACCCAUAAUUUUAACAGUAUAUUUAAUUAAAUGUUGAGAAUCUUAAGAGUUGGAUCCAUUAAAUUUAAAUCCUACGUCCACCCUUGUUCCAGUCAAUGAGUUCAUAGGCAAAAAGAAUGCUACUAUACUCAUUUCCUUCUAACAUGACAUUUUCCCAUAUCAAAUUUGAAACCUUUUUUCGUUAAUAUCAUCAUUAUACCUAAGCAGGGACGGAGCCAUAUGGUCAUAAGGGUAGUCAAGAUUAUCCUUCAUCGAAAAAUUACACUAUAUAUAUGGGUAAAAUAUUAUGUUUUAGAGGUAUAUAACACAUAUUGAACCCCUUUGUCAGGAAUUUUUUUCGCUUCUUUUAAAUUUGAACACCCUUGAGAAAAUUUCUAGUUUCGCCAGUACAUACGAGAACGUAAACAUAUACAUGAUUCCUCUUAAAAGUUAAAAAAAUAAUAAGCACAAACGUCCAAUAAUCACAUUUUUAUUCAUGUAUAAUUUCUUGUUUCUCCUAGUACAAAGCUUUCGCUCACUUUAUUAUGCAUUUUUCUGCAUGUAGGAAACAAACAUUUAUUUAAUUUCCUAAUGUUUAAUUCCCUCCAACUUCAAGAUAGGAUUUUGCUAUUCGGUCAUUUGCUCCUUUUGGGUAAAAUCCACCUGGUUUAUUCUCAUUUCCACUUCUGUAGAUUAUUUGCAAUAUUUCUUCCGGCGUUCUAUUGUAGGAAAGUGAGUAUUUAUCUGCUGCCAAUAUAUUUCCUUGUAUCUUCCCGUCAUUACCUACUGUUGGUUUUACUUUGAGUCAUUCAUCUUUCAAUCCAUGGCGUCCUAGCUUGUUUCUCAGCUCUGAUAUCCGAUUUGUGAACUCUGCUACUGUUAUUCCGUAGGGUUCUACGUUCUCUCUUCCUCGCUCAUAAAGCAAUGCUAUUAGAACUGCGUCUUGACCUGAUUCUACUCCCAGUAGCCCUGCUAGUAGUUGCAGAUUUUGAAUUUUGUAUGUUUUCAAUUUGAAAUGUAAUGAAUAUACUACAUGCAUGCAAUUUGUUUUAUGAGAUGAGAUUUGACUCGACAUGAAGUUUAAUAUAUUUUUUAUUAUAAUUAUAUUGUCAUGUUAAUUUGGUGCAUUUCUACUAUUCUAUCAUAUACUUAUUACUUUUCAGUGGUAUAAGUACCGGAUGACUUUGUCUACAAGACUUAUGCAGACGGAAAGUUUAAGAUAUGAAAUUAACUAGUGGGUAUAUUUAUGAUAAUGAAACGAUUAUUAUAAUAAGAAUUACCAUGACAAUGUAAAGAAUUUCUAUAUAUAAAAUUAAGUCGUCUAAAUAAUAAUACAACAAUUAUCUAUAAAAAAAAUGAUCAGUAACCAAGAAAAUAAGGUAGAUUAUUUGUUACAACAGUUAUAACUAACUGAUAGAAUAAGGAUUCUUUACAUGACAUUGUGAGUGUAUAUACAUUAAGUUAUUAAACUAAUGAUUGAAAAAUUAGAUUUAAAUAUAAAAAGACAAUGACACUGCAAGUAGCUAAAGUUUUAAUUCUUGAAAAUUGUAUAGUUUUGUGGUGUGUUUCGUUUCCUAUAAAAUGUUUUCCUGGAAAAUGAGUAGUUUUAUCACUUAUUUUCCCUUGUUUGGUUGGUGAGUGAAAAACUUUUUCCGAAAAAUAUUUUCUAGUGUUUGAUUAGAGAGUAAAAAAUAUUUUUGCAUGCUACUCUCCUCAACCCUAUUCCUUCCAAGUCCCCAUGUUUCCUUGCCCACCCCAACCCCCUCUCAAUACUCAACAUUUUUAGGAUUCUAUUUUCUUCAAGAAUUUAAUUAUUCUUCUAAAAAUUUAUAUAAACCCAAAGGAACUAAUGUACUGCUUUAUUUUUUUACGUAAAAAUAACUUUAAAAUUUGUGCGCCAUAACUAAAAAAGAGAAUAUUCUUUGUUUGGAUGAAAAAAAAUUGUUCUUUAUACAACAUGAAACUCAUUUUAUUGAAAUAAUGAAAAAUACAUUUUGUACAUCAUAAAAAGAAAAUGCUUUUUUUCCUUCGGCAUAUAUUUUUAAUGAACUGCCACAACUUAAACAUGAAACACAUAAAGAAGGUGGUUCUCGUUAAUAAUAUAUAGAAUUUUAUAAAUAAUAAAAUAAUUAAUUCAGCUGCAAUAGAACUACUAACCUUUGAGAAUAAGGAUAGUGAUUUUUAUCUCAUAAUAAUUUUUUAACUCUGCAAAUGCACUUAAUUAACAUAUAAUUAGUAGAUACUUUUACUUCAAAAAUGUAUAAAUGAACAAAAUGGUAACAUCCAUGGUAACUUGAGAAAGAGUUUUGGAAAAUGUUUUCCCUUCUCUCAAUAAGGAAAACAUUUUCUUUCAAUUAGAGGAAAAUGAGUUGAUGAGGAAAAUAUUUUUCAGAACAUUUAAGCCAACCAAACAUGAAAAAAUUGGAAAAUAUUUUCCAUGCCAUGCAUGUAAAUUGGAACAAAGAUAAUAAUAUUAUGUUAAAAGAUGUACUAGUUCAGAGAGUAAUUUGAUUUAAUUACCCUUUUGGCAGUAGGGCUGAGGAGUUUAGGAUUGGCUCCAACAUAUCCAAUAAGUCCAAUAUAAAGGAUAACAUACGAAGCAAGGAGAUAAUUAAUGUCAUUAGCGUAAGGAUUAAAAGGUGGUUCUAAUUGAUGUCCAAAUGCAUCGUUCAUAACUGUAGCAAAUGCUUCUCUGCUUAGAUUUAGCAAUGGCCUUGAAAAUCCUGCUACUGUAUACUUGAUUGCCCUACAAUAUCAAUUUUAUCGAACUUUUAAAUUUGGAUAUAUAGACGUUAUAUAUUAAAUUAAUAGGGUGCUUGGAUUGGUUUUUAAGCCAGUCAAAUCAAUUUUUAAGUUUUUAUUAGUUUUUAAGUGUUUGACAAAGUCAAAAAGGACUUAAAAUGAGUGAAAAACUGCUUAAAACAAGCCAAAAGAAAUAAGCUGGACAACCCAACUUAUUACGUUUUGGUUUAAAAGCUAUUUCUGCUGAAAAGCUUUUUUUUAAGCCAAACCAAACGGUUUCUAAAUCAACUACUGAAGAAGAGGUGUAGGUCUCUCGACACCUAUGUUGCUUGGACCUUUUAAAAAUAUUUUCGGGUGUGUGUUGAGUCCUCCAAAAGUGGUGUGUUUUUUUACAAGUCAACAUGCACACGACAAUAUUUUUAAAGAGUCGAACACUAUUUGGUUGAAGAACAAAGAAAGUUUGUUUGAAGAAGCUCUUAGGAACAUUCUAUUACUACAAACAAUCAUUUGAGUUCAACAAAUUAAUAGUUGCACAUAAAUUAUCCUUAUAAUAAGGGUUGAUUUGUACAAAAAUCGAAGUAUUCGAAUCUUUCACCUGCAGCAAAAAAUAUUACAACCCAUAUUUACGUACGUUAGUUCAUGCCGUAAGUUAGUAAAUGUAAAUCCAAGAAGAGAUUAUCUUUGAGAUGAUAAGAAGUUAAUCCUAUUGGUCUUAAAUGAUACAAAGGUGUAUAAGGAUGGUUAAUAAGUAUUAGAAGUUAAACGAAUCAAGGAUGUUGCAACCCGUAUUUUCGGGUAAACCUAGAGGUGCUUAAUACAUUUAAGAGGAUGUGUUUUAAGGUAUUUGGAUCAUAUAAUAUCCGUAUCGUAAGUCUUGAAGUCAAACGAGUUAUGAAACAAAAGUCGACAAAAGUUGUCGCAACUUAGGUUCAUAGUUUUACUUAAACUUUAGGUCAAAUGUUACUAAGCUUUUCUACCAAUUUACUUGAAAUUAUAGGGUGAUCUAUCCACAAAAUUGAAUAUCUAUGAGUCUAGUUUCCAACGCAUUUAACCGUUCGUCGAUACAAUAUCGGAGUAGAGAGAUAUUCAUAUUUUCGCGAGACUACACCAAACAACUCUCUAUGGGCCCCACAUAGGCGGUUUAAGACAUAUGGAUAUAUAUAAUAUGACUACACCCCAUUUUAAGUCAUUCAUUUUCACUAUAUUCAGACUUUACAACCCUAGAAAUACCCUCUCAAGGUUCUCUCAAGAUUCAAGACCCAAACAAAGGACAAACAACACAAAUCAAGUGUCGGGAAUCCCGUGGCGCUAGUAAGUUUCUUGUUCUUCUUAUUGUUGCUCAUUUUUGUAUUGUUCCAGCUUGUGUGGGAGGUUGUUUCAAGUGUCGAAAAUCCUGUGGCGCUAGGUGAUUUCAAGUCUUAUAAAGUGAUUCUAGUGCCGAAAAACCCUAAUUGAUUGCUAGUUUCGCUUCCUUGUUCUUGUGGCAGCAUUGGAGGGAUAUUUCGUGGACAAUUAAGGUAAAAUUGGAGUUGUUCUUUCUGUUUAAGGGUAAGUAACCUCUUACUCUACAUGUAUUUAAGAUUAUCCAAGUUGUGGCUAAGUAAUUGAAGCUAGAACUGGUGAAAUAUAUAUCGAAAGGCUUGGUAGUAAUGUUGUUGGUUGGUGGACUAUUUUGGGAGGCUCAAUAUGAUUAUUAUUGAUGUUGUUGGGAUGUUUGGUGAUUUUUUUGACUUGUGGGAAGUCAUAUAAAUAGGGGAGGUGUUGUUCGUUUUAUCGUAAAAUAGGUUACGGUCGAUAUAUACUAGAUACGAUGCUUAAACGAUAACGAUAGUAUCAUUUCUCUUAUUGUAGACUAAGGAGUCGUGACAUUUGCGUAGCUUGAGGUUGGACAGUAUAUACAAGGCAUGUGAAGUUAUCUCUUCCUUCUUUUGCACGACUCCGAUUGUACAUAAUGUAAUGAAUGAGUUUCCAAAGAUACUCUACUCUUAUGAACGAAGCUAAUAGUACUUACAUUGUUUCCCUUCUUAUGAAGCGAUUGAUGUUGAUGUUGCUUCUCUUAUUAUUAUGUUAUCAAUAUUGUUGGUAUUUUCUUAUUCUUAUGAGAUUCAUGAUGAAGAAUUAGUCCUAAUAACGUGUAUAGAGGAUACCGACCUCACGUCAUUCCGAAAGGUUCAGAAUAUUAUUCUAAUGAGUCCAGCAUACAUUAUAUAUAUGUAUCUAUUUUACUCUACCGAGCCGCACUAUAGAUGGCCGGGUACGACACCUACUGUGCAACCACUAAUCAGUUGGGUUUUACUGAGCUCCACGUGGCCAGGUACGAUUCUACCGAGCCUUAUGAUGACCGGGUAUGUUUUUACCGAGCCUAUUACGGUCGAGUACGAUAUAAUGAUGAUGAUGCCCACAGAGGCGUAUGUUUUAAAAGUUUAUGUAUAUAUACAUAUGUAUCAUGCAUUUUAUGUCAGUAGCCCUUAGAGAUACCCAGAUGUUACAUGUUGUAUAUUCUCUAUCCCUGCUUACACUAUUGUUCGUACUUAUGGUUCAUGACUUACAUACUCAGUACUUUAUUUGUACUGAUGUCCUUUUUAUUUGUGGACGUUGCAUGUCGUGCUGCAGGUCCUGAUAGACGGGUAGAAGUAACUCCCCCACCGCAGUAGGCUGCCUAGUUCAACGGUUAUUGGCGAGAUCCCUUCUCCGGACUUGCCGUGGUCUUGGUAUGCAUAUUUGUUAUAGACAUCAUGGGUAUGUCGGGGCCCUGUUCCGGUGAUGUUGCAGUACUUAUGUUUCUUUAGAGGCUCAUAGACAUGCGGCGACAUAUGUAUAGUUUGGUAUGCCUUGUCGGUUGAUUUUUGUUGUAUAGUCUUUCAUGGCAGCGUAGUAGCUCGUACCUUAUAUAUAGUUUCUUGGCUUUCUGAUCAUCCCAUGUUAUGUAUGAUCAUGCCAUUAUCUUUCAUUGUUGAUUGUUCAUGAUCCACGUCUGCCAUUUAUAUUGAUCUCAUCGGCCCUUAAAGAUAAUAAGGAAGGUUAGAUAAAAUGUACGUUGGUGCUCGAUAAAUAUGGCCCGGGUGCAAGUCAUGACCUUCCAGUUUGGGUUGUGACAAAAAAAAUAGCAAAUUUAGAGGGGGAAGGAAUACUAAGUAAUGUAAUACAUUUUAAAAUAUAGAAGAAAGAAAAGGAACUCAAACUGAUCUUAUAAAGAAGGAGCGCACCCUUCACACUACCCUUUCAUAAAAUGAACGAAUUUUACUACUAUAUAGAAAGCGGAAAGGCGGGAACAAACACAUCUAAAAAAUUGCUAUUGUAUGUGUCAUGUGCAGAGACACAAUAACUUGAAUAUCAAACAACUCAAAGCCAUGAAACUCCCAUUGAAACAUCCCUGGGUUUAAAAUAUAGACAAGAGGGGUUGCUCUAAUGGUAAGCAACCUCCGCUUUCAACCAAGAGGUUGUGAGUUCGAGUCUCCCCAAGAGUAAGGUGGGAAGUUCUUGGAGGGAAGGAUGUCGGGGAUCUAUUUGGAAACAGCCUCUCUACCCCAGGGUAGGGGUAAGGUCUGCGUACACACAUCCUCCCCAGACCCCACUAAGUGAAAUUAUACUGGAUUGUUGUUGUUGUUGUUGUUGUUGUUGUUGGUCUUUAACUUUUAAACCCGUUUGCCCCAUGGGAAUAACUUCAAAGUUAAAAGUUAAAAGUGUUGCUAAUGGUACAAGCAAAAGACAACACUUAUUAAAUUUGAAUUCUACCAAUGGAGCAAGUGGGGCAAAAAUUCAAGACCGUCCACUUUGAAGGCUAUUCGUGCACUUCACGCAAAAAACAAGGCCCCAAGUUUUUGCUCUUCUGGGCCUCCAUUUUGUUUUGGAGCGAGAAAACAAUUCCAAAACAAAGCAAGUGAGCCCAGUUACUCUAUCACUCCAGUUAGGCGGAGGCCCAGACCGCAACCGGGCUAAGCCCAACUGGACCCAACUUAAUUGGGCGGGCUCUCAGUGAGUUAGGCCCAAUUGUCGGGUAUAACUUGUCUUUUGUGCUAUGUCUUUAUGGGAACUAGGGGUGUACAUAGGUCGGGUUGGUUCGGAUUUUGCAAUUGCCAAACCAAACCAAUUGUAUCGGGUUUUUAAAUCUAUAAAUCAAACCAAACCAACAAAGGUCGGGUUUUUCAAUAUCGGGUUUUCUCGAUUUUCUCGGGUUUCUCGGGUUUUUCGUUCCGAUAAACUUGUGCUCCAAAUAUUUCUAUAGUCCUAAAUACAACAGUAGGGAGGAAUACACCAGAUUUGCCAAAAAUCUGUUAAGAGAAACAAAAUAAGACAAAAUCGCAUAACAAUGUACGAAAUACAUCUCUCUUAAUUUUACACAGUUCAUAUUAUUUAACCAAAUGAUUCAAAAUAUAAGUAAACAAGUUUCAAUAUCUUUUUAAGUAACAACCAAUUAUUCAUGUUAAGCAUCUAAGGGAAACAAAAUAAACAAAUGAAUUCAACAGUAGGGAGGAAUACAACAGAUUUACAAAAAAAAAACUUGCUAAUCGGAAAAAGAAAAAUCUUAGUUAAUUGGGGAAAAGCAAGGUAUAUGUAUGCAGCUAAAAGAAAACCUGUAAAAUGAGAGCAAAAGAGCUUUACCAAUGAUAGGGAUUGAGCAAAGGAAGAGCGUAGGUUUUUUGCCUUUGGAAAAGAGGAAAGAUGAUUUCAAUUGUUUACCUUUACGUAUAUCAGAACAACUUUAGGACAAUGUAUUGCUGCUUUAGGAUUAGGUUUUGGUUUGGGCUCAAAUAUUCUUUUAUGGGCCAAACAAAAACAAACAUUUACAUGGGCUAUAAUACCAACUUAAAAUAUUAUGCUAUAUACAUAAAUUAUAAUAAAAAUUAAGAAAUAUUUAUAACUUACAUUCUAUAUAUUUUUAUCUAUCUAAUAUAUAAAAUAUGUAUACAUAUAAUAUCGGGUUGGUUUGGUUUCGGUUAAUACCAAACCAACCCUAUUGUGGUCGGGUUUUAUUUUUCAAUACCAAACCAAGUCAAACCAAACCAGUAAUCGGGUUUUUUUUUUUCCGGGUUGACUCAAAUUUUUGGGUUGGUGCGGAUUAUCGGUUUGGUUUAUACACCCCUAACGGAGACAACAAAGAUUGAAGAGGCAAAAGAAGAAAAUUAAUAUGACCAAAAUUGAUCAAAAGUUUAAAACCUAAUAGAUUUGAUUUUAAAGUUUCUUGGACAAAACUCACAGUACAUUUAAAAUUUAAUAUUUGUUAAAAUUUUAUAAAUUUUUGCACGCGCACAAAUAUAUAUAUUUCCGAGUUCAGUGACUCAAAAAUUACAUCUAAAUAUGAUCGGUUAAUAUCAUGGUCUCCAAACAGGAAUAUAUAUAGUGAACCUUGGUACCAACUAUGCUAUUUCUUUUAUUUUCUUUCUCUUUCCUAGAAGAUUUAGUGUAUUCAACAAGGUACUCGAAGAGAAUGAAAAAAGAAAAAAAUAUCCAAUAAAAUCUAAAGUUGUAAUUUCUCACACAUAUGGAAUCAUCUUAAGACGUUAUAUGGGACUUCUGCAUUAAAUUUUCUAUCUUAAAACAUACUUCAAAAACUAACACCGAAAAAGAAGGGAGAAACUUGAUUUGAUUUCAAUAGUAAUUUACAUAUUUAUUGCUUCAUGAAAAUCCAUGUUGUCUUUUCAAACUUUUUUUUGAUUUCACACCCGGUUUUCGGUAUCUGUAUUGGAACCCGAAUAUAUCUGGAUUCGCACUGCGUAGGGCUCCAUUCGGGGGGAAGCGCUUCCUGCCAAAGAUUUAGAUUUUUCCAUACCCAAAGCUCGAACCCGAGACCUCUAGUUAAGGGAGGAGCAAUUCCAUCCGCUGCACCAAGUCUUUUGUGGUGUCUUUUCAAACUUUUAUCUAUACGACAAAGAACCUUAGUUUAGCAUAAAGCAUAUGUCUUUUGAUCUUCCAUCAACUUUCCUAACUCUUGCUUCUAUUUUUUAAGGUUUUGGAUUAUGUGCAAGAUUGUGAAUUUGAAUCAAUAUACAAAAUGAUAUUGCUUCUGGUGUUGCCUUCUAAAAUCAAUAUUUCUUUCCAAAGCACAAAAUAUGCACAUAUACAACAUAUAUUAUAAAGUUAAAUUUCAGUUGAGGGAGAAAUAGAAGCAUAAGUUUAAAAAACUAAACCUUCAAGAUUGUUCUUAAUUAACAUAAUUGUAAGCAUCAUGAUUGGACAAUGUUACAGUAUUGGAGCACAUUUGCUGUCGUCAUAUAGUUUUUGAAGGAUCUGGGAGCCUAACAUUAAGUAGAACUCGAGGGAUAAAACUAGAGCGCUUUCAGAAAAGAGGAAAAUAUUAUCAAAUUUUAUAGUAAAUAGAAGGGAAAAUGCAUAAGUAUCCCUGACCUAUACCCAGAUUUCCAACUACACACUUUUUCUUUGCGGGAAUUCUAUUAUCCCCCUAAACUUAUUUUAAAUGGAAUUAUUUGCACCUUUGACGCUGAACUGGCAGGGUGUGUGUAUUUCACUCUCUCUGGGAGAGUGAGAAGCAAGUAAAAACGAUUUUCAGAUUAUUUUUUAUUCUUUUUACCAUUUUUCUUACUUUUUUUUUCCUUUCCUUUGUAUUUUUUCUUUUACUUCUUUUUUCUUUUCUUCUCUAAUCCCAGCGGAUAUUCAUUUACCGGCGACUUUGUUUGACCGUUUUCUUCCAUUUUUUUUCACACACAAAUUAAACUCUACAAAAAGAUCUAUUCAUAAGUAAAGCAANNNNNNNNNNNNNNNNNNNNNNNNNNNNNNNNNNNNNNNNNNNNNNNNNNNNNNNNNNNNNNNNNNNNNNNNNNNNNNNNNNNNNNNNNNNNNNNNNNNNNNNNNNNNNNNNNNNNNNNNNNNNNNNNNNNNNNNNNNNNNNNNNNNNNNNNNNNNCCUCCCACACCAAUAAAAUUACACAUUUCAAGAAAAAUGUAUAUAUAUAAAACAAAACACACUUAGAUCGGGAUAAAAAUCUGUCGCCGGAAAAAAAGUUUCGCCGAAAAAAAUGGUGUUUGUAAAAUUCCGACGACCACCAUUUUAUGCUGCUGGUGACCAAAACAAAAAGAAAGAGAAUGAGAUAACAAAAAAAAAAUGAGAAUAAUAAGAAAUAAGAAAAAAGGAUAAGAAAAAGAAGAAAGAAGAAAAAAAGUACUAAAAAUACAUGUUGGGUCGCGUGUAGCUCACCACUUGCCAAAAGUUUGGUUAUCUAGUUUCAGGGUGGUAUUUAUUCCAUUUAAAAAACGUUUAGGGGGGUAAUAGGAUUCCCGCAAAGAAAAAGUGUGUAGUUGAGAAUUCGAGUAUAGGUUAGGGGGGUACUUAUGCAUUUUCCCUAAAUAGAACUCAACCACUGGCCAAACAAUUAAGCAAUUAUGUACAAAAUUAGAGAAACAAUCUUAGAUGAUAACUCGAAUUAACGGUAGUAUAAUUAAUAAAUUUCAAUAUUCAUGACAACCACAACUCUAGAACGUGAAGUUUAGCAUAGCAAAAGAACAAUUCAUCUAAAGCAACAUAUAGAUUAAUAAGUUUGAUGGAAGAAAGAUGGAAUCUGAUGAAUUCCGGCCUCCACGGUGGCUCCGUGCUCUUCCUAGGUCUAAAAUCUAUAAAAAUUAUGUUUAAGGACUAUUUUAUAGGUGUAGGUAAAGAGCCUAGAUAAAAUAACCAAGUCCAAAAUAAAAAAAGGAGAUGUAUGAGAUAUGUAUGAGGAAGGAGAAGAAGAUGCUGUUUUGAAAGAAUGCCGUUCACAUGCAGCAAAACAAGGUGAUUUAUCACCUAUGCAUAGCGGCAAAAUAAUGAAAGCACAUACAAGGAAAAAUAGUUGGGACGACAAGGUUAGUGAUUUUUUAAAUGUUAGGCGACCUCCAAUGAGAGUUGCCAAACAAAAGAAGGCUGCCACAACUACGUCAACGAGGUCCAACCGUUCAAAAAAGAAGUGAUGAUUUUUGAUUACGUUUUGAACACGGUUGAGGAAAACAACAAAGAAUUACAAAUUGAAGAUUUUACAAGUUUGGAAAAGAAGGGACAAAAAUCAAAUUGGUACUACAUUCUAUUUUACCACUUUCUUAGUAUUCUCAUUUGUAAUAUCAUCAGAGAGUAUGUUAUAAACUCUGUGAUGAUCAUUGAAUAUUUGGUCCAUUCAAGUUCUUAUUUUUUACAUGCUUGCUAGUAGGUGAGGCCUUUUCUUUGCCUCAAUAGGAUUAGUAAGGUAAGGUUUAGCCCGAGUUGUGUUGCCUUAGUCUUAUGCUUUUGGAAAUUAUCCACACGGCUAUGAGAUUAUAUGCCCUCGUGAGACGUUGCCGACAGCUACACCAUGAAUCCUUUACAUGAG
RNAcentral lists this long non-coding RNA (28164 nucleotides) under Nicotiana tabacum (common tobacco). RNAcentral describes it as "long non-coding RNA (NTAB_LNC014210)". The record is from RNAcentral. Lineage: Eukaryota; Viridiplantae; Streptophyta; Magnoliopsida; Solanales; Solanaceae.